AAUCCUCUGCUAGCUGCUUUGAGGCCAUGUCUGCCGAAGUCACUGUCCUCUACAGGGUUUUUUCCUCAUGUUCAGUGUUUAGUCCUUUCCACCUUCACGAAAACGAUGCCUACUUAAUAUACAGAAAGGAGGACAUACAGAAAUUUUUCAUCUUAAUUGGAUAUUACAGUUGCCCCACUUUGGAGCCAAGAAGAGCUGAAUAAAGCUGAGAAACACCUAAACAGAAAGGCAAGUUUACCAUGAAGUAAGAAACGUAAGCUUUGGACCCCUUAAUUGCUUGAGCCUCCAAAAUAGCUGCUGCCCCACUCCUGUGCCAAAAUCUGCUCCAAGGGAUCCUAUCCUAGUCAGAAGGCUGUACUCUGAAUGCUGAUAUUAGCUACAACACCAAGGCUUCCCACUAUACAAACUGGAUCCUCAAAGUCAUCCACACCAAAUGAACUCUCUAUUCUUUCUCCCAGUAGCCUGAGAACUGGGUUUACCAGCCUUGGCCCUUCCUUUCCUUCUAGCCUCAAAACAGGAUGGGAACAGAGUCUUUGGCUGUGAGAAUGGGCUCAAUAACAAAAUAAAGAUGACAGAAGAGUCAGUGACUUCAAUGACAGAGCGAUAGAAAUUACCAAUAUAAACGGAGAGAAAAGAGAUUUUUUAAAAAUGAACAAAUCCCCAAGGACCUGUGAGACAAUAACUGUGUUAGGUUUUCUAAACUUACAAGUGUUUUUAUUUAUAUAUGGUAAGCAACUAUGCAUUAUUUGUGUCAGAAUUAUUUUUUGUAUAUAUUUAAGGUAUACAACAUGAUGUCUCAACAUACUUAUAUGUAGUGAAAUGGUUACUACAGUCACCACACUUAUUGUCUCACAGGUUAUUGUCUUCAGAAGGAGAGUAAAAAGAAUGCUGGGUAGAAGAAAUACCUGAAGAAAUAAUGGCCCAACCUCAAAUUUGGUGAAAGACAUAAACUUACAGAUUCAAGAAACUGAGUGUUCCCCAAACAGAAUAAACUUUAAAGAAUCCACACUCAAACACAUCAUAAUCAAACUUCUGAAAACUAACAACAAAGAAAAACUUAAAAUCAGCAAGAGAGAAACCACACAUUAUCAACUGAUGAAAAGUGACUCAAGUGACAGCAGAUUUAUAAUCAGAAACUUGAAGGACAGAAGGAAGAGGCAAAACAUUUUGAAAGCCCUAAAAGGAAAGAACUGUCAACCCAGAAUUCGACAUCCAGUAAAAAUAUCCGUCAAGAAUGAAUAUGAAGGAAAGCUAAGAAUGAAUAUAUCUUCUAUUUCUUUGCUAAAUUUUUCUACUUUUUCAUUUGAUGUAAGAGUGUUUAUAAGUGCUUAUGGAGCAUUUUUAUGAUAGUUGGUUUACAAUCCUUGUCUGAGAGUAGCUAUGUGAGAUGACGUAUAUAGUAAAUGGUGACUGUAGUAACCAUUUCACUACAUAUAAGUAUGUCAAAACAUGUUGUACACCUUAAAUAUACACAAAAAAUAGCUCUGACACAAAAAAUGCAUAGUUGUUAUUACCAUGUAUAAAUAAAAAUACUUGUAAGUUUAGAAAAUAAAAUCAUUGUCUGAUAAUUAUC
RNAcentral lists this long non-coding RNA (1573 nucleotides) under Homo sapiens (human). RNAcentral describes it as "HSALNT0307940". The record is from RNAcentral. Lineage: Eukaryota; Metazoa; Chordata; Mammalia; Primates; Hominidae.